GUGUCAGCAGCCGCGGUAAUACUCGCGGUCCAAGUCGCAGCCAUCUUUAUUGGGUCUAAAACAUCCGUAGCUUGCCUGGUAAGUUCCUUGUGAAAUCCGGCCUCUUAAGGGUCGGGCGCGCAAGGAGUACUGCCAGGCUAGAGACCGGCAGACGCAGGAAGUAUGUUCGAAGUAGCGGUAAAAUGCAUUAAUCUCGGACAGACUCACAACAGCGAAGGCAUCCUGCGAGGACGGUUCUGACUGUCAGGGAUGAAGGCUAGGGGCGCAAAACGGAUUAGAAACCCCGGUAGUCC
RNAcentral lists this ribosomal RNA (293 nucleotides) under uncultured bacterium. Its description in RNAcentral is "partial 16S ribosomal RNA". It matches the Rfam family "Archaeal small subunit ribosomal RNA", at positions 455 to 747 of the family's 1478-position model. The record is from RNAcentral.